UACAGAGGUCUCAAGCGUUGUUCGGAUUCAUUGGGCGUAAAGGGCGCGUAGGCGGCAAGGCAAGUCGGGUGUGAAAGCCCCGGGCUUAACUUGGGAAUUGCGCUCGAAACUACUUGGCUGGAGUGUGGCAGAGGAAGGUGGAAUUCCAGGUGUAGCGGUGAAAUGCGUAGAGAUCUGGAGGAACACCGAUGGCGAAGGCAGCCUUCUGGGCCAACACUGACGCUCAUGCACGAAAGCGUGGGGAGCAAACAGG
RNAcentral lists this ribosomal RNA (253 nucleotides) under uncultured bacterium. RNAcentral's name for it is "partial 16S ribosomal RNA". It matches the Rfam family "Bacterial small subunit ribosomal RNA", at positions 524 to 776 of the family's 1533-position model. The record is from RNAcentral.